RNAcentral lists this unclassified non-coding RNA (435 nucleotides) under Melitaea cinxia (Glanville fritillary). RNAcentral describes it as "misc RNA ENSMCXG00005016160.1". Lineage: Eukaryota; Metazoa; Arthropoda; Insecta; Lepidoptera; Nymphalidae. The record is from RNAcentral.
AGAUUGGUAUUGCUCUCUUCGUUUCGGCCCGCGGUUGAGCGGCGGCACCAGCCGGUUUCGCCAGAGUUACCUCAUUUGCUUCUUGGAUUUCAUCACAAUAGAGUUCUGCAUACUAUGUGUGGCGACAUCUAUCGCGUGACUUACGAACUACGUAACUAAGAACUGACGCAUCCUACAUUGCGAUAUCAAAGUUAUUACAGCAAUUAAGUAUAUAUACAAGAAACCAACAACAACUGUCGGGCCAAUCCUCUCUAAUCAACGGUGGAUGAGGAACUCAACAUCCCGUUCCUCACACCCCUAAACUGGUGACCCCGACGUGAUCAUCAAUACAGCUUUCGCAAGCUACGUCAUUGUGACAUCACCCCCAAACAUCAUUUAAUGAUUAAAUGUUUUGAUGCGUUUUUGUUUGUAUUAUUUGCGUAUCGUUAUAUAUAU